RNAcentral lists this ribosomal RNA (229 nucleotides) under uncultured bacterium. RNAcentral's name for it is "partial 16S ribosomal RNA". It matches the Rfam family "Bacterial small subunit ribosomal RNA", at positions 568 to 796 of the family's 1533-position model. The record is from RNAcentral.
UGCGUAGGCGGGCUAAUAAGUCAGUGGUGAAAUCUAUCGGCGCAACCGGGAAACUGCCAUUGAUACUGUUAGUCUUGAGUUCGGUUGAGGUAGGCGGAAUGUGUAAUGUAGCGGUGAAAUGCUUAGAUAUUACACAGAACACCAAUUGCGUAGGCAGCUUACUAGACCGACACUGACGCUGAGGCACGAAAGCGUGGGGAGCGAACAGGAUUAGAUACCCUGGUAGUCC